CUCCUUCACUUUUGUGAGCGGCAAAAGGUUUUCCUCCAUUCUCCUUCGUUCAUUUGUGAAACAGCUGUGUUCUUCAUAUGGAAACUCCGAUUAAUCAUCAAUCACUUCAAAAUCUUCUACAAAAUUACGAAUACGUUUCCAUUUAUUUUCCCUUUAUACCUUCACGCCCUCUCUCUCUCUCUCUCUCCGAUUAAACUACUUUCAGUUUCUUCCAUACCUAUGAAAACCCUAAUUGACAGCCGUAUUCAAUCAAAAUUUUAGUUUCUCAUACCUAUCAAAACCCUAAUUGAAACAUCAACCAUGAUAGAGGCAGCAAAACCAGGCAGUGGUUGUGUCUAGCGGCGGCAGUGGUGGUCUAAUGUUGAUGGUGGAGGAGUCACGACAACAAUGGUUUUAUGGUACUUGAAUCUUCGUCUCAAUCAUUCCCUACGCCAUCUAAUGUUUUACAGAGAUGUUGAAAGAAGAUGCAAAUAGUGGAAAAGUGUCGUCUGAUGUACCUGCUGCACUCAAAGAAUUGAAUGAAAAUGUUGAUGAUUUUACCUUAGCAGAUUCCUCAGGUUACAAAGGAGGGUGAUGAGAAAUGGAAGCCUAUGACUGAUGAAGCCACUCUAAUAAGGGUUCAUGUUGUUCAAAACUUCAAAUCCAAUUGAGGCAAUCCAUGAACCAUUAGAAGCUGGGCUGAAACUUGCUCGAUAAGAGUGUGGAUUCACUACAUCUGAGAGGACCAACAAGCAGUUCCAGGUAUACCUUCUUCCCUCUCCUUCCCGAUUAGUUUUUAAUAUUUCACUUUAUGGGGGAUUGAUCAAAUACAGACUCAUAUAUAACCGACAUGGUUUGAUUGGAAGUAACAAGUUACAUAUGUUACUUGGUGGUCUGUCAUCGUUUGCUUCGGUAUGGCUCUCUUAAGCUUAGAAUAUGGCAUACAUACUCCUUAUAUAUGUGUGAUUUUGCAGAAACAAUAUCCGAUUGGUAUCAAGCUUUCAGUUUGAAUACAUCAACCAUUAAGCGAAACUCCUAAUAGAUUUAAUCUAUAAUACUAUAAUAAGCAUUUCCCAUGUACAAAUUUGUAAUUUUCUUCACAAUUUUAAGACGUCAUAUCAAAGGUCAGGCUUAUUUCCCCAACUUUCAUACCCUGCUCCCAAAUUUGCCCAUCUUCAAUGAAGUUUCAAUGAUUCUUCAAUGUUUCCUUUUGUUUUUUUUCAGCAAUUCAGCCUUCUCUAUUAAAUUCGAUCAUCAAUUUAUGUAAUCCAAUCGUUUCUUCUUCAAUGGCCCGUCCGUUUCUAGCAAUACCACCUAUUAAGAAGUCAUCAUUGAAAUCACGCACAAGUGUGUUGGUGGCGAUGAAGAAGCUUAUAAGACCUAACAGCCACCUCCGGCGUUGAUGGUUAGGGUUCCGACAGGGAUUACGACGAAGUUAAUGGCGGUUUUGUUUCAACUAUCUGAGGCGACUGAGAUUAUUAGGUUCAAGAGGCGAUACUUGAUGCUUACAAGGAUGAAGUUACAAACCCUAAGUAUGCUUUUAAGCACUUGCUGUUUAGUGUGACUGAGCCACAAUUUAGGGCAAAGCCUGCUGGUGUGUCAGAUAUAACGUGGGCAGAGGCAAUGGGUAAGCUAGAAGGUAUGGAGGCUUCCAACCGUGAACGUCUUUGGCCUCAACUUGUUAAGGGCUUCAAUGAUCUUUCUGAAUGUCUUAAGGUAUCUGAUAUCAUUAUGAGUAUGCUAUUACUACCGCAGAACCGGACGAUGGGAAUUGCAUAUAUGGUUAGACAGUUAGUUGAUUAAUAUUCGAUAUCGAUUUAUAUAACAUAUUUUGUUGAGAAAUAGGCAUGUUUUGACCAUGGAUAUGUAACUAUAUAAACAUGUUUGAUCAUGCAAUUAAGCAUUAUGAUCUGGAAUUUCUGUUUCCAUCUAACAUACUGACUUUAUCAUCAUUUAUUCCCACUUGAGAUUCAUUAUCUAUUUAAGCCAUAUUUAUUGCACAGUUGCAGAACACUUGGAUAUGAUACUGGGAGUUUUUUUUUCUUUGAUCUAUGGUGGAGGUGGGGAGGAUUAAUGGUUUCUGGUAUGUAAGGUGUCCGGUUAAGUGUUUAUGGUGGCUCCGUCAUCUCAGAUAGACGGCCCUUUCACUUGAUGGAUGGUCGGCCUGCAAACGUCGCAAGCAAAGUGGCUGAAUAUGUGGCUGGUUGGUGGAACCUGCUACUUGAGAUGGGGGUCUGGCUUGACUUUGAAGCCCCUUUCACUUGGCUGGUUACGUGAAUUAUACAUGGCUCACACUUAGAUAACACAUUGGAGUUGAUCGUUUAUGGUAGUGACGUAGGCAGCAUAAGACCGAGACUGGGGACAUUAGUCAACUUUUGGGUUAAGCUACUGAAUUUUUCUAGAAGUUAAAAGAACAAAUCGGCCUUUGGGUUGGCCCAUAUGUUCUUUUGAAAGGCGAUUGUAGAACUUUAGUUUAGGGUAAAUCAGAUUGGAAAGCCAAUUUCCAAAUCUAAGUUAUGUUUAUAAAUGAAUCUUAUUUGGUUUUAUUAUUUUUGUUAAAAUUAAAAUGCAUUGUGAAAUUAACUUAUGCAUUGUAAUCUAUCUCUCAAAUUUAUUUUUUACUAAAACAAUGCAGGUGCACCAUUCAACAAGAUGGCCGAGAGUGGAAGAAGAUGAAACGAUCAUUAGCAAGUGAUUGGGAUAGAAAUCUCGUGGUUGUGGUACAAUGGUCUCCAUUUUAAAGUGAAUCGGACCUUCUAAAACAAUUUGAUCAUAUGAAGGAGCAGGGUACACGCAUAAUUAUAUACAAUCAAUUAGAGCUCGAUUUCGACACCGAUAAACAUGUUUGUUUAUGUUAGCCUUGAAAUCAAUUCAACUAUGGGCAGCACAUGAUCGGUACUUCUUAAAAUUGACAUUAAAAUUUCAUCUUGCAAGAUAUUCAAAUUCGAGGUGUUAAUCGUGAUGAGAGAAAUAUAGAAAUGGCACAGCAAUAUUGACCGGUUUAUGGAUGAAUGGGUCAACUUGGGAUUUCAAUAACAGUACUGAAGGUUUCAUAUGUAAAUUUGGAGGUGUUGAGUGCUGGCAUCCGGAUGAAAGUAAAGUUCUAAAUAUUCAUCUUUCUGACAUGGGGUUAAAGGGCCGGUUUCCUCUCGCUCUCAAAACUGCACUUCGUUAACGGGCUUGGAUCUUUCAAGCAAUAAUCUUGACGGACGUAACAUUAUUCAUCCAUAAUCCCGUGUGCCAUAUUUUCCCAUGAUACACCUGUUUACUCGCUAAUCAGAAUGGACUUUAUAUGAGCAGAGGUACCUAUUGAUGCUUUGGAUUGUUCCUGCCUUUGCAAAGUUACACCAAAUGUUGCUGAGAACAGUUGUUGUGAUAUGAAUAUUGCUAAGGGAGCAAUGAUUACUGCUGACCUCAGGUGGUAAGUCAAUGUUUUUUUAGCCAAAUAAAGUGGGACUAUGGAUCUAAUAAGGAGUUGCUUGCCAGAUGGGCAGUCAAACCACCAGUUUAUUCAACAGGGAUUGCGUUGGCAAGUGUUAACCAGCCGCGAAGCGCGAGUGCUUUUUUUAUACACAUUUGUAUAUGAUUUUUUAAAUCGCUUUAAGGUCUGAAUUGUGUUCUCUCCCAGUAUUGCCGACCCCGUUGCAACGCGCGGGUUCCCCACUAUCUAACUAAAUGCAAUUGCUCACUAAAUCCAGUCCAAGCCUUUUCGUCUUCUGAUGUCAAGAAUGUUGCCUUAUCAAGAUGCUAUGGAACUCAGCAAGUUUAAUUCUUUUCUCAAGAAAUAUCUGAUCAUAAAGGUUGUUAGCCAUCUAUUAAACCUGCGAGGAGUGUUGCUCCAUCCAUACAGCACCAGUACAGUGCUCGCUCUAUCCCGCUGUCUCCACACCUCCUUAUUUGUCUUCAUCACCCAACAGUACCACUCUCCCGCUGGAAGUAACUAAUUAGAGAAUUUGAUAUGAAUGUUUGCGUUGCAACAUGCUUUGAACCCAAUAUUUUGGAUGAUCUUCAUUCAAACUAAGGAAAUUUGUUGAAACGAAAGCCUACUUUAGCUGCUAUAACUUAUAGGUCAUCCACAUGAGCUGAUUAAACCAUCUAAUGUGCGUGUAUAUAACUUCCAGUCAGAGCUUAUAUUAUGGCGAUUCAUCAAGGCAACAUAGUGGACUUUCUUCUUCAGAGAUUCGCGAAGCGGUUGACAAACGUCUUUCUAUGCAUGAUCUGACCUCAAAAGAAGCUGGAGAUAAAUACACACGAGUUUAUGAAGAUCACUAACACAAUUUACUACAAGGCAUCCCAGUGGACAUCUUCAGGUGAAAAAAGGUUGUGUAGUGAGAUGGAGGAAGAUACGGAUCACCUGCUCAUGUCAUGCUACAUCGCUUUGGGGGUUAGACAGAAGGUAAGUCUUUGGUGCAACAUCCCUUAUUUUUCAGGUACAAAGGUGAGGGAGUUGUUCAAAUUUUAUUAAGCAGAAGGCAUAUUGUAAAAUAAAAGAAAUUUGGUGCAAUGAUUGUUAUUAUGUCAACUUGGGAGAUUUGAAAAGCACGAAACGAAUUGAUAUUCUCAGGCAAACGGGUAUUAGUUGAUC
Molecule: long non-coding RNA, 4564 nt
Organism: Helianthus annuus (common sunflower)
Lineage: Eukaryota; Viridiplantae; Streptophyta; Magnoliopsida; Asterales; Asteraceae
Exons: 17
Source: RefSeq, a predicted model, not a curated record